This 964-nucleotide ribosomal RNA is filed under the name Sanguibacter antarcticus. RNAcentral's name for it is "bacterial SSU rRNA". It matches the Rfam family "Bacterial small subunit ribosomal RNA", at positions 36 to 1008 of the family's 1533-position model. Lineage: Bacteria; Bacillati; Actinomycetota; Actinomycetes; Micrococcales; Sanguibacteraceae. The record is from RNAcentral.
CUGGCGGCGUGCUUAACACAUGCAAGUCGAACGGUGAUGGAGGAGCUUGCUCUUCUUGAUCAGUGGCGAACGGGUGAGUAACACGUGAGUAACCUGCCCUUGACUCUGGGAUAACUCCGGGAAACCGGGGCUAAUACUGGAUACGAAGCGCCUCGGCAUCGGGUGCGCUUGGAAAGUUUUUCGGUCAAGGAUGGACUCGCGGCCUAUCAGCUUGUUGGCGGGGUAACGGCCCACCAAGGCGUCGACGGGUAGCCGGCCUGAGAGGGCGACCGGCCACACUGGGACUGAGACACGGCCCAGACUCCUACGGGAGGCAGCAGUGGGGAAUAUUGCACAAUGGGCGAAAGCCUGAUGCAGCGACGCCGCGUGAGGGAUGAAGGCCUUCGGGUUGUAAACCUCUUUCAGUAGGGAAGAAGCGAAAGUGACGGUACCUGCAGAAGAAGCGCCGGCUAACUACGUGCCAGCAGCCGCGGUAAUACGUAGGGCGCAAGCGUUGUCCGGAAUUAUUGGGCGUAAAGAGCUCGUAGGCGGUUUGUCGCGUCUGGUGUGAAAACUCAAGGCUCAACCUUGAGCUUGCAUCGGGUACGGGCAGACUAGAGUGCGGUAGGGGUGACUGGAAUUCCUGGUGUAGCGGUGGAAUGCGCAGAUAUCAGGAGGAACACCGAUGGCGAAGGCAGGUCACUGGGCCGCAACUGACGCUGAGGAGCGAAAGCAUGGGGAGCGAACAGGAUUAGAUACCCUGGUAGUCCAUGCCGUAAACGUUGGGCACUAGGUGUGGGGCUCAUUCCACGAGUUCCGUGCCGCAGCAAACGCAUUAAGUGCCCCGCCUGGGGAGUACGGCCGCAAGGCUAAAACUCAAAGGAAUUGACGGGGGCCCGCACAAGCGGCGGAGCAUGCGGAUUAAUUCGAUGCAACGCGAAGAACCUUACCAAGGCUUGACAUACACCGGAAUCGGCCAGAGAUG